This 267-nucleotide ribosomal RNA is filed under the name uncultured bacterium. Its description in RNAcentral is "partial 16S ribosomal RNA". It matches the Rfam family "Bacterial small subunit ribosomal RNA", at positions 534 to 793 of the family's 1533-position model. The record is from RNAcentral.
GCGAGCGUUAAUCGGAAUUACUGGGCGUAAAGCGCAUGCAGGUGGUUUGUUAAGUUCAGAUGUGAAAGACCCGGGGCGUCAACCUCGGAACUGCAUUUGUAAACUAGGCAGACUAGAGUACUGUAGAGGGGGGUAGGAAUUUCAGGUGUAGCGGUGAAAUGCGUAGAGAUCUGAAGGAAUACCGGUGGCGAAGGCGGCCCCCUCGGACAGAUACUGACACUCAGAUGCGAAAGCGUGGGGAGCAAACAGGAUUAGAUACCCUGGUAG